GCUCCGGUAGCUCAGUAGGUAGAGCGCAUGCCUGUUAAGCAUGAAGUCGCAGGUUCGAGUCCUGCCCGGAGCG
Molecule: transfer RNA, 73 nt
Filed under: archaeon CG06_land_8_20_14_3_00_37_11
Lineage: Archaea
Also listed under: 1 other name
Description: tRNA-Asn
Rfam family: tRNA
About the family: Transfer RNA (tRNA) molecules are approximately 80 nucleotides in length.
Source: RNAcentral